This 798-nucleotide non-coding RNA is filed under the name Clavigralla tomentosicollis. The record is from RNAcentral. Lineage: Eukaryota; Metazoa; Arthropoda; Insecta; Hemiptera; Coreidae.
UAAAUGUUGAUUUUUUAGUUAAGAUUGAUUUUGUCUUUUUUAAUUGGCUUUAAUUUGAUAAUUUUAUAUAUAAGUUUUAUUGCGGGUUGAUAGAUUAUCUAAAUGAUAAUUUUAUUUUUAUUUGUAGUUUUUGGUAUUGUAUUAUUUUGGAAACAAAGAUUCAGUUAAUUUAUUUUAGGAUUGUUAAAAAUUGUGCCAGCAUACGCGGUUACACAAUUAAUUCAAGUUAAUUUUUUUGGUUAAUAUUUAUUUUUUUUAUUGGAGAUUAAUUUGAUUUUGUUGGGUGAAAUCUUAAUUUUAAUUAAUAUUCUCUUGGUUUAAUAUUAUAUGAAAUUUAGAAUUUGAAACUAGGAUUAGAUACCCUAUUAUUCUAAAUGUAAAGUUUUGGCCAUGGUAUUAAUAGUUAUGAUCUUUAAAUUAAAAGAAUUUGGCGGUAAUUUAGUCCUUUCAGAGGAACCUGUCCUGUAAUCGAUGAUCCACGUUGGAUUUUACUUUAUUUUAUAGUUUAUAUAUCUCUGUCAUUGAAUGUUUUAUUAGAAUAUUUUCUUUAAUCAUUUAUUUGAAAAAUGUCAGGUCAAGGUGUAGCUAUAAUGAAGGUUGAGAUGGGUUACAUUUAAUUUAAUUUAUUGGAUAAUUAUUUUGUAAUAAUAAUUUGAAAAAGGAUUUGAAAGUAAUUUUUGUUAAUUUACAAUAAUGAUUUUGGCUCUAAAUUAUGCACACAUCGCCCGUCACUCUCGUUUUUAAAAUGAGAUAAGUCGUAACAAAGUAAUUCUACUGGAAAGUGGGGUUGGAAUUAUA